GACGAACGCUGGCGGCGUGCUUAACACAUGCAAGUCGAACGCUGAAGCCCAGCUUUUGUUGGGUGGAUGAGUGGCGAACGGGUGAGUAACACGUGAGUAACCUGCCCCCUUCUUUGGGAUAACGCCCGGAAACGGGUGCUAAUACUGGAUAUUCACUGGUCUUCGCAUGGGGGUUGGUGGAAAGGGUUUUUCUGGUGGGGGAUGGGCUCGCGGCCUAUCAGCUUGUUGGUGGGGUGAUGGCCUACCAAGGCUUUGACGGGUAGCCGGCCUGAGAGGGUGACCGGUCACAUAGGGACUGAGAUACGGCCCAGACUCCGACGGGAGGCAGCAGGGGGGAAGAUGGCACAAUGGGCGCAAGCCUGAUGCAGCGACGCCGCGUGAGGGCUGGAGGCCUUCGGGUUGUGAACCUCUUUCGCUCAUGGUCAAGCCGCAACAAUGGUUGUGGUGAGGGUAGUGGGUAAAGAAGCGCCGGCUAACUACGUG
RNAcentral lists this ribosomal RNA (483 nucleotides) under uncultured bacterium. Its description in RNAcentral is "partial 16S ribosomal RNA". It matches the Rfam family "Bacterial small subunit ribosomal RNA", at positions 28 to 507 of the family's 1533-position model. The record is from RNAcentral.